RNAcentral lists this ribosomal RNA (441 nucleotides) under Monodonta confusa. RNAcentral's name for it is "partial 16S rRNA". It matches the Rfam family "Bacterial large subunit ribosomal RNA", at positions 1940 to 2540 of the family's 2925-position model. The record is from RNAcentral. Lineage: Eukaryota; Metazoa; Mollusca; Gastropoda; Trochida; Trochidae.
CCCUAACCGUGCAAAGGUAGCAUAAUCAUUUGCCUUUUAAUUGGAGGCUUGUAUGAAUGGUUUGACGAGGGCUAAGCUGUCUCUUUUAAAAUAUUUAGAAAUUAACUUUUAGGUGAAGAGGCCUAAAUUUGGCUGAGGGACAAGAAGACCCUGUUGAGCUUUAGUUUUAUGCUAAAUGGAUUAUUAUGAUAUUUGUAAUAAGCGUGGACCUAGGUGUAAUGGGAUUUUAGUAUGAAUCUUUAGUUGGGGCGACUGAGGAACAGCUAGAGCUUCCUUUGGUUUAGAAGGGCAAGUAGUGUGCCGGAAAAUAGUGUAUUCUUGCAGGUUGUUUUGAUCCAGUAGAAUACUGAUUAAAGGAAAAAGUUACCACAGGGAUAACAGCGUAAUCUUUCUGGAGAGAUCUUAUCGAAAGGAGGGUUUGCGACCUCGAUGUUGGACUAA